CAUCACUUGCAAGUAAUAAGAAUUCAUCUUCAUCACUUCUUUGGCUAACCAAGACUUCAGGAUCUGGAAUGACAUAUGGUUUGAGGUACAUAUCACCUGCAUCGAUCAAUAACUGUAUCAUAAAAAGCAUGAUUUACUAUUAAUUUGCCAAAGUGCUCUGAUCAGCUCUUCCACAAACAGUAAGUUUGUUCUUCAUUUCUGUGGAAGCCUCUACAAAGAUGAGAAUUAAGAAAAGACCUGCUAGUGCAGUAAGCUGAGUCUUCGACGUACCUAUGGAUCUUGAAGUAGCAAGAACUCCUAAG
Molecule: long non-coding RNA, 302 nt
Filed under: Solanum tuberosum (potato)
Lineage: Eukaryota; Viridiplantae; Streptophyta; Magnoliopsida; Solanales; Solanaceae
Description: long non-coding RNA (STUB_LNC003935)
Source: RNAcentral